This is a small nucleolar RNA of Humulus lupulus (European hop), 107 nucleotides long. The record is from RefSeq and is a predicted model, not a curated record. Lineage: Eukaryota; Viridiplantae; Streptophyta; Magnoliopsida; Rosales; Cannabaceae.
ACACCAUGAUGUUGGCAUUUUCUAAUCAAAUCAUUGAACCUCUCCAAAGCUUCAUAAUGUGAUUCUGACUCAUGUUGCAUGAAAGAAGUGAUAUUAUGUCUCAAAAU